AAAUUGCAGCUGUUGGUGUUGAGCCCUUUGGAGACAUUCUCAGACUUCCCAGACUCCUUCAGUAAAGCCUCUAGCACCUCUGCCAGACAACAACUUUAGCAGCAAACUAUACUCUGUACGUUACUUGGACAAAGAUUUGAUCCUACAGAUGGAUUUACUUUCUACUGAUGGAGAAGACUUCCCUGUGAAUUCAGGGAGAGGAUUGCUUUUGGAAUGACUGAAAGUUCAGAUUCAAUGCCACGUACAAGAUAGAGUGAGAUCUGAAUUACAAUAAGAUGCCUCUGCCUACAUCUUCCAUCACAACUGGCUGUCAACUCUCUUGAAAGGCUGUUUUCUAAACCAGUGUGAUGCCUCAGGUGCAGAAGAGAGAGACAAUAAUUAACAAUGUGGCCUACAGCAUCUUGGGGAACAAUUAAUUUUAGUGAAUGGACAGGGGGAGGAAGAGAGAAGAUUCAGACAGUGAUUAUUGCUUAAGACACCAUCUCUUUGAAGAGUAUAUUGUGUAAUAAUACAAUAAUGCUCCAUUUCAGGAACUACUAUUUGUAGAGGAGAACAGCUGACAGAACCACCUGCCCUUUCUCAAAGGCAUUGCUGAGGUCUCAGGUUGAACUGCUUUCAGAACUCUGGAGCAUUGGAUGUGGCACUCUAGUCUAGCUCACUCUGGAGACAGUUAACAACCAUGAAAUGCUGAUCUCUCUCAAAAAAGGAGAGCAACUCCACACUCCUUCCUUGGCUGUGCCUGUACAGCUCAACUCUGAAGAUGGCACUGGAGGGUUGCUUUGCAGCAGUAAGUACAGAAGGAACAGCGAAGAACAUCAGACCCUGAAAUUUAGGGGAAGACUGAAGCAGAGCAGCUAAUCCCACUUGAAAGGAUGGGCUCAUGUCCAACUACACAUUUUUUUUCCAAUCCACUGGGAAAGCCAUUACACUGAUGGCAGUCAGAUUGGUGCAGCCACAGCAAUCUUGAAAGCAAUUAGGAUAUCUUUGAUUAAAUGAUCUAGUGGACAAAGACUGAAAUUGCUUCUCUAGGAAAACCCCAGCAUGGAUAGUUUUUUAAUUAAAAUGAGCUAAUAUGAGAUUUUUACUUGCAAAAUCACAUGAAAGGGAGAAAACAAAAGUGAUACGAGAAAGGGAAAACACCCUUUUGUUUUCUCCAGUGACUGAUUAUCACCACACUGUUUUCAAAAUCCCUUUGCUUCCCUGUGUAAUCAGGUUGAUUAAAAUCCUCUAAAGAAAUAAAACAGCUGCACAGACUUCCAAAAUCACAUUCUUCUCCACUGUGUGCACACUGUAUUCUUUUCAACAGCUUUGUUUCCAAAUUAUUCUUUUCCCUUCAUUGCCUCCGAAAGUCUAUUACUGGAUUUAUUAAAAGAAAGCUGAAUAAGCAUGCUGAAUACAGCCACAGUGAUUGCCUCAACACAUGUUGUUUGUGCAAGGACUACUGUGCAACCAAGUUUGAGCUGCUGGCUGUCACUGAAUUGAGGCAGAACAAAGGAAAACCCAGCUGAAAGAAAUUGUUCACUAAAGGAAGGUUCCAUAUUUUGCCCUUCUGUCAUACACUGAAGAGCUAAAACAAUUAUUAAGCUGAAGUCACACCAUGACAUUUUACUUCAACCCAGGCUAGGAGGAGGAAUGUUCCUAUCUUGUCUCUAAAAUGACCUGACACCUUUCCACUGUCUGAGGCUGAGACGAGGCUGUGCUGCCACAUGCUGCUGCUGCAAGCUGUGCCUUCCAGGGAAUCAGCUCAGCUGGGGUGACUUGGGAAGGGGGCACCUGCUUGCUUCCCUCUCCUGCUUGGAGGUGCUUGCCUGGCUGUAGGAGGGGCCUGGAAUAAGGAGAGGCUGGUGCACAGAGCACACCUCACAUUCACUCACCCUGUGCACACAGCACAUCAGUCCUGCCACUCUGCCAGUGCUUAUGCAAACCAAGGUGUGCCCAGUGCUUAAGCAGACCUCUCUGGGCUGCCCCUUCCUGCUCCCCAUUCCAUCAGGUUUUUCACAGGCAGGUUUCCCUAAGGAGGCAGGAGGUUUGACUGAAUGGGGCUAUACCUGAUGCUAUAAAAUGUGCACGGCCCCCACUGCUACAGUGGGAACUGGUGGUGGAGCCACUGGUGAGUCCCCAGAGAAGGGCUGAGCCACCAUCACUGGAGGUAUUUAAAAGAUGUGUGGCUGUUGCAUUUAGGAACAUGGCUUAGUGGUGGACUUGGCAGUGUAGGUUAACCAUCUCUUGCAGCCUAAAGGAUUCUCUGAUCCCUGUCUGGGUACCAGGGGCUACCCUGUUUCCUACCAAGCCCUCCCGUUCUGCAUUCCCCAUACUGGUGAGUUUUGUUCCUUGUCCAGCCCAUCCAGCAAAUUGAGUCAUCUCAAAAAGAAGGGAAAACACAUCUGCAGGCAGAGGCAGCUCUGCAGGGCUGUAACAUUGCUGGAGUUUGCACAAGCUAGAUGCAAGUGCUUUUAAUACUGGCCUCAGUCAGCACGAUGGCUCAAGUCUUCCCACCUUUUUGAUUCGUCCAAGAAAUGUACUUGAAUUUCUUGGUCAGGACAAUAGAUUAAUUUGUUUUUUCAGGCAGUACCAUUUUAAUACAAGUUACACAGAUGAGCACAUACUUUUUCUUGCUGAGCAGCUUUAUGUGCCCGUGGUGAACCCCCCAUCUCCUCCCCAGACACCCUGCAGCACUGACCUUGCCAUGGGCACUGACAGCUUCCCUCAUCACUCCAGCAACACAAAACUUUCCUGCCUCAUCAUGGAGACCAAGAUAUUUAGGAGAGACAAAAAAACAUUUAUGGAGAUAAAAAUAUUUAUGACCUCAGUGUCAUAAAUAAGCCUACACUUAGUUCAAUAGAACAUAUCAAGUUUAUUUUAAUGAUUAAUAGAACCAUAUCUGGAAAGGGCAAGUUGCAAAAGCUACUUUGAAAUUCUGAAACAGUGAUAAAGUCAUUCUUGAAAUGUUUAAAAAUAAGAAAAUGCUAUAUCUGCUAAACAAGAGCAAAUAGAGUAAGUCCUAUGCAAAUGACUGAGAACAGGACAGAUUCUGAAAAUACCACAGACUAGAAAUUUCUUUCUGUCUAGAAAAAUAUGUGUCCCAAAUAGUUUUAAAUCAGUAAACUUUAUGUGCUAUUAUCCAGAUGGAGUAAAAUGCUGGCCCCACAGACAUUAAUCAGUCAAUGAACUCAAUGAGGUCAGAGUUUUACCCUGAGACUCAAUUUUUUAAAAAAAUAAUUCAUAUUUCUGACAUUUUUAUAUACACUCACAUACACACAGACUUACAGACUUCCUGCUCUGUGCCCAUAUAUAUAUAUAUAAAAUCAUUUAUAGCAGUAAUUUUUCUAAUGCUUUGUAAAAUCUUUUACUGAUUUACAACACUAAAGAGUUUAUUUCUUUGUCAUCCUAUUCAGAUGUUACUCCCUAUUGUGCACUCUUCUCUCCAGUGCAAACCACCCAAGGCCUGUUCUAGCAGAAUGACAUGAAAGCACAUGUGUUGUCUGAUGAAGAGCAGAGAAUUUCACAAAACACCCAGAUGUUUUUGAGAUGCAGCAGCACUGCAUUGUUUUGCAGCACAGACCUAAAAAAAGUAUCUCUUUAUUCAUUUAAAAUGCCAUGAUAUGGAGUGUGGCUCAUGAUGUGUUCCUUGGUGAAAAGAAUAAAAAAAUAUGUAUAAACUAGAAACCAGUGGCAGAAUUGAAGCCUUUUUGGGUGCUCGAGACACCCAAGAGAAAGCAAAUAGCCCCUCAAGCCCCAGGGUGAUUGGGGUGCACUCUCAGAAGACACAGAACUGUGACCCCCACCAAAGGACUGAGCUGUAACACACACAUGCUCCAGGAAGUUACAAAGGCAGACAGGGCUCCUGUGCUCAGGUUUUUCUCCCAGCAGAAAUAAUGUGUCAAACUAUUCCUCUGAGCCAGUCUGGCAACUGCAUAUCCUACAGUAGCUUUUUAUUUCUUAUUGCAUAUCAUGGCAUAAACCCACAUCUUUGUCUUUCCCUAAUUGGGGUAUUGGAGAAUGUAACUUCUUUUCCUGGUUCUACCCAAAUACUCUCUUAGUGUCAAGAGGAUGUGACACCAUGUUUUUUCAGAUUUCUAUACUUAAAUGUCUGCUAUUCACAUUUCAGAAGAGGACUAUGAAUUGUCCAUAUAAAACAUCCUAGCUAGUCAUUGCUCACAGCAACACUGAUGUCUUAAACUUUGUGGUAGAAAAAGUUUAAGAUCCCUUUUGAAGCCUUUCCCCAAGCUUUGUUUACCAGUUUGGAUGGUGGUUAUGGAUGUGAUAAAAUUUUUAGAAACAUGUAUUAUAAUAUACAUCUCAGUUCACAACCACAGUUAAUGUAUGCGGCUGUGUAUGUGUCUAACCUCAUAAAUACAUAAAAGUGUUCCAGCUUUGGUGCUUAUGGAUUAUUAAAAUUAUAUCAUUAUAUCUCUUUCUUUGAUCACAAUUUAGUGUAACACAUUAUCUUGAUUCUCAGUAACUUCCAACUUUGAUGUUAUAUUUAAUAAAAUAUAAUGCUGUGCUGAAGAAUCCCUUGGGUAUCUUUAAUUUCUUUUCUUUUUUAUUAAUAUAUAUUACACCGUAAAUGGGAUUAAAUUGUCUGAUUAGUGAAGCAGGCUCUCACUGCAGCAGUUAAAUCCUGAAUUCCUCAGGGCAUUCUAUAGACAUUGUUAAAGCAUCUUUCCAAGGUGCUGAUAAGCCCAGAAUUAAGCCUAACAUUUCCCUGGUGCUGAGGCUGGUUUCACGCUCUGACCCCAACCUUUGCUCUGUUAAUUCAUCUUCCUGCACAGAAACCUUUGCUUUUGCCCUAGAAAUGUUGUAGGGCUGCACUGUAGAGCAGGAGAAAGAACCGAUGCAGGUUUUUGAAGAUACUCUGCCACCCCAAACCCAAGAGCUGCGUGGAGAGUGGCCUGCAAGGGGCUGCAUCACCAGAGAGCAUCAUCCAAAAGGUGCAGCAAGAACAACCUCACCCAUUGUCCCCACCAGUGGAAAUUGCUCCUUGAUGCUCACAGGCACGGUGCUGCCUUGAAGUGGGCCAGGUACCACUGCUUGAGGCUGUGCCAGGCAACUCGGUCAGGGCAGAGCCCAGGACAGGCAGCACUUAGCCCAGAGAAGUCCAGCUGGUGAUGUAUAGGGCUCUGGCACAGCCCCUGUCCCCAGACACACCUUGAACAAGUGCUUGAUCACGCUCAUGAAGUACUUUGUUGAGCUUAAGUUCGAACUCAGGCACAGCACAAGUACUAUCCUAUCAAAAACUCCUCUGGAAUACACUUAAAUCACUGAAAAGCUGAGAGAGGCACUUGGACUUGGAGAAGAGGAGAAGAGCAAGGCUGAGAGGCAGGUGAAUCUUUUCUCACUCUUUCUUUCUGCCCUUCUGCAGCUUUUACAGCAUCCAGCCCUCACCCACAAUAACUCAUCAAUGCUCAUUUUAAUCGCCUCCAGCAGGGUAAUGAGGGAAAGCGGAGCCUAAACUCUGUCUGACGAUGCCUAUACAAUCCUCUGUCAGAGAGGAGGUCCUUCUUAGCCUAUCAAGCAGUAAAAGUAGUCUUGACUACCUGGGGCCACAUCAUUAUGCUCUUUAUUACAUCUCAUUAAGACUAUAUGUUAUAGAAGUAAUAUUGUAGAGUUGGACAGCGCCAAGCCAAGCAGGUUUUGCCAUACUGCAAACAUAGGAAAAUUCUUCAUCACUUUGACUUUAUUGGCUAACACAAUUGUCCUUAAAAUAGUCAACCAAUGUACCAUGCAAGUAGAAAAAUUCAAAUUUACAAUAGACUUACCAGUAAAUAAAAAUCAGAUUAAAAAGACUUAAACACAAAAGACCUUUUAAAUCACUAUAGUUCUGCCUCCUGAGUUGUCAGGUUUUUAACACUUCACUGACAGACACAUGCAUAUAUAUAUAUAUAUAAAACAUUGUUAUGAGAUAUACUUCCAAGCCUGUAACUGAAGAGUACUCAAUGAAAAUUUAUAUGCAGACUCACCUGAUUAUUUUAUAAAUUAUUCAGCCAAUUAGUGACAUGAUAGUGUUCCUACUUAAAGAACAGUGCAGUGCCCUGCACAGGCCAUGAAGCAGAGUUUUAUAACUCAGCUGAGUUUUUUGGUCCUUCAGUGUCCAGACCCAGCUUGGACACCAUUUGUGCACCUAAGCAGUUUACGCAGGUGAAUAGCACAGCUGCCUUUUCAGACAGCUCAGUUUUCCACAAUACAAUCAGCAGAAAUACUGACAGUAUAUAAACUGGUAUUUUAGCAUUUCAGGCUUAAACAAAAUAAAAACAAACAAAAAACCAGCAAAAAAGCCAGACUAGAUUAACUAGAAUAUAAUAGGUUUCCAUAUUUCUAGGACCUAAAGAAGGAGACAUGGGACAGGAGCAGAGGCUGUUUGUUUACGUCUACACAGUAGAAAAAUAUCUCCUCAGAUUUACAAAGGUAAAAAUGUUUCAUUCUUAACUGAUGUUUCCCCUCCUGGUCACUGAAGUAGACUACUGAGCCAACAGGAAGAAACAUUUCCCAGUAUUACUGACAUUUAAGCAAAAUAACAAUUUUAAAGCUCUGGGAAAAGGAUAUAUAUGGUGAAGGAGUUGUUUGCAUAGAUGUAAUAAGUGAACCUGAGAGCAAUGCAGGAAGGCACUGCUGGCACAGACCCAGGAGGCACAAUGCAAAAACAAAGCACAGCCAGGUGGUCUUAUAAAAAAGGCAAUGGGCAGAGCCCUCACCAACCAUCACUAAUGUCUUGGCUGUCUUUGAUGACUAAAGUUUAAAGAACUUGUUUAAUUACCUUCUGCUUUGCUUUCCAAAUGGUACCUAAGCAGCUUAUCCAAAGUGAUCUGUAAAUUGCAUGACCAGCUCUUUGGUUUGAGGUAAAAAGUAGCAGGUGAGGCAGGCCAGGGUCCUUGUAUGGACACAGGCAAGACCUAAACCCCAGACACUGAGAACCUGAGUCAACAACAAGAAUUUCCUGAAUUAGGAUACUACUGAUGAAUGUACCAGCAGCAAGGACUUCUGGUUUCCCCCUGGCAGUGUGUUGGUAUCCUCUCAGCUGCCAAAAUCAGGGUACAAAAUCUGGUCAUGUCUUCUCUUCCUCUCUCCUAGUGCAUUGCCCUCAAAACACCCAGCUCCCUGCUAUCCCUCCCCAGCCCAGAAUUGGUCCCCUGCUGCUGCAGGAGAUGGCCUAGCAAGGAUGAAAGAGUUUGCAGUGGUUCCUGUGGGAAUUCACAUACCACCGUGCAAAAAUCCCUGAUAUUAAACAUGAAAGACCUGAAACUAACAAGGAAUGGGAAGAGUGACAUUUAAGGCAAGAAACAUCAGACAUUUUAGAAAAAAAUCCUAUCCAGACAGAGAAACAACUUCAUAAAUCACAAAAUGAUAGAAUCUGUCCCACUGGAAAAUAACCAUGAGAGAGGAAUUCUUGCAAAUGCAUCUCUGAUUUGAGAGAUAAAAUUAGAAAACCCAGGGUUGACUGUUGUGAAACUGUCUUUGCACAUUCCAGUAAUUUAGAAAAUUCAGAUAAGUGCUUGUGUUGACGUCCUGAUUUUUCUGAGGACAACAACCAUAUUGGUACUACCUUUAAUUGGUCCAGGAUGUCAACCCUGAACUUUGAUCCAAAGCAGUCAACAUCAAGUCAUGUCAGUGCUCAUAUGAGCACAGGAAUAAAGUCAGUACAUACUCAAUCUGCUAAGGAAUUUUCCCAUUAGCCAGCAAGCAGUAUCCCUUUGCUAAAGACACAAAAAUCUUGUUUGAGGAAAAGCUCUAUGGAAAUACUGCCAUCACUAUUUAUGUGAAAAAUAUCUCCAGAAAAAGAAUUUAGUAGUGGCAAUUCAAAUGAUAAACUCUAAUCCAUGGAACUCAGGAACUGAGCUGGCCUGAAGGUAGGGGAAAUGUUUUUCUCUUAAGAAAACAUUGACUUUUUCAGGGAAAAAUUGAUAAAAAUGUUCUGGUCCCAAAUCACAAUAUUUUGUUACUAAAAAGUGGCAACACAGCCUUGAGAACAGGAAUGUCUGCUUCCUGGAAGGUAGCUUUAGAUCAUGUCCUUUUCCAUAAAUUAUGUUUCCAUUGUGUUCCACUCCUUUUUAAAGACACAGGAAAAUAACCCAGUUUGUUUCCAUUAGCUAGCUUCAGUAAACCUUCCUCCACCAUGACUGUUGGACAACCAUAGACUCAUAGAAUGAUUUGGGUUGUAAGGGGCCUUAAAGAUCAUCUAAUUUCAACCCUGUGCCAUGAGUGAGGACACCCCCUUGCACUUCCACCAGCUUGCUCAGAGCCCCAUCCAACAUGACCUUGAACAUUUCCAGGGAUGAGGCACCCACAACUUCUCUGGGCAGUCUGUUCCAGUGCCUCAGCACCGUCACAGUAAAGAACUUCCUCCUAGCAUCUAAUCCAAAAUUAAUCUCAGUUUACAGCCAUUCCCCCUUGUUCUGUUACUACAUGCCCUUGUGAGAAGCCCCUCUUCAGCCUUUCCUUGUAGGCUCUCUUCAUGUACUGAAGGCUGAAAUUUAAGCCACACCAAAGCCUUCCCUUCUCCAGGCUGACCAAUCCCAAUGCUCACAACCUUUCCUCAUAGGAGCGGUGCUCCAUCCCUCUAAUCAUCUUGGUGGCCUCCUCUCCCUUCCCUUGACCUGCUGUCCAUAGUGCUUUGGAUGAAGCUCAGGACAUGGUUUUUUGGGCUGCAAAUGCCUGUUGCUGGGUCAUGUCCAGCCUCUCACUCACCAGCAUCCCUAAGCCCUUCUAGGCAGGGCUACUCUGGAUCACCCCCAGACUUUGUUGAUACAAGGAGUUUCCCAAACCUGGGUGCAACCCCUUGCACUUCAUCUUGUUAAACCUCAUGAGAUUCCCAAGGGCCAAUUCUCAUUGUCCAAGUCCCAUUAGAUGGCAUCCCAUCCUUCAGGUGUGGCAACCACACCACUCAGCUUGGUGCCAUCUGCAAACUUGUUGAGGGCGCACUUGAUCCCUUUAUCUAUGUCACUGGGGAAGACAUUAAAUGGCACUGGUGCCAGUAUGGACCCCUGAGGGGCACCACUUGUCACUGAUGUCCAUUGGAACUCUGAGUCAUUGUCCAUCACCCUCUGGAUGUGACCGUCCAACCAAGUUCUCAUCCAACACUUCCUGACAAAUCCUUGUAAAAAAAAGUUUAUCUUGCUAACAUUUCUAUACUGACAAAAUAAAAUUAAAGCAUACCAAAAAAUACAUAUUUUGUAUAUAUGUAUAUACACCCAGAGACCAAUAUGGAUUUGCAGUAAUUAAAUCAGUCUAAAGAAACUCCUUUUGAAAUAACUCCACCAUGUAAAAAUGAAGUAAUGCACAAGGCAUAAAUACAUGCCACUUACAUAGGUGCCUUUCUGUAAGGAACAAGAAGAGCUGUGUGUGCAUCCUCCCUCACCCAUCAUCCCACCACCCCAAUAAUAGUUAUUUUUUAAAGUUUUUCUGCUGUAAUAAAAUAUCUUUUCAUGAAUAUUCUUAAAAAUCAAAUUGAAAACUCAGCUGGUCUGUAUUUUUACUAUAUUUUUAAGUCCUCUACUCCUAAAUUGCUCUUUUUAUCCAGACAAGUCAAAUUAUGCUGGUACGCUGUUUUUCUGUCACAUACCCUUACCUUAAAAUCACAAGUCAUCCUGCCCCAUCCAGAACAUGAGGGCAAAUUCACAUGCUACUUAAAAUGCCAAGUAAGACCCAGACACUAUAAAAUCCAUCAUUUUAAACUGGUAUAGUAUUUCUGGCUUAAAAAAAAUAAAUGCAGAUGAAGCUAUCUUCAGCAAAAGGUAAAAAACAUCCCCUGGGAAAAAACUGCCUACAGUGUAAACUGGAAUAAAUGCUGCAAUAUUUAUGAGUAUUGUGGUGCUGGGAAUCCCCUCUGAGAGCCUCUGAUUUACACUAUACAUUGAUUUUUAUCAAAAGCUGUUCUAAAAUUAGAAGAGGCCAGGAUCUGACAAGUAUCCUUUAUGUUUUAGUCCUACAGAUGGAUACCAUGAGAUACUUCCUCAGUUUGAAACUCUUCCAAAUCCAGAGGCACCAAUCUGACAUAUUAAACUGAACUUAUACGAAGUCUUGUGUCUUUACAUCAUGCAACAUCAUUUAUGGCAUGCUGGGCUGUGACAGCUUAAGUUAUGAAAAUGCAGUAUCACGCAGCAGAUCAGAGCUAGCUUUAUAGCAGGUCUCAUGAAUUUCUUCAUCCAGAAAGAAUAAAUUUUGUGUGGGAGCAUUCUGCAUAGAACCCCUGCAGAGCAAUAGAUUAAAACUGGAUUUUAG
This is a non-coding RNA of Cyanistes caeruleus (blue tit), 10215 nucleotides long. NCBI's taxonomy places the organism in Eukaryota, Metazoa, Chordata, Aves, Passeriformes, Paridae. The record is from RefSeq and is a predicted model, not a curated record.